UAUAAAUUAUCUAACUUUUUUAUUUUUCAAAUAAAUUAGCCACAUAUAAACUAGCCGCUAUUUUAGUUACAACUGUGUUUUCAAUUGAAGUAUCCAACAGUUUGGCUAGUUUACAAACCAAAUUAUACGUAACAUUUUUAAAUUAUACAAGCCCGCCAAAAAAAUACCUGUAAUCGAAAUUGUUUGGUUGUGACACCUCUACCACAGUAGCAAAACUACAGGUGGUUAUGCAACUAAAUAUACAAUUAAUUUUUGGUUCUAUAACUUAAAUGUUUGUUUUUUUGGGCAUAGUUAUUAUUAAUUUGCGUCUUUUUAUAUAAUUAAUCGAUUAUUGGUUUAUUUCUUGCAGUUUACUAAUAUGUUCGCAUGAGUUAAAACAGUUGGCGUCAAAUUGUCAACACAACAAAAAUCCUAACCUCUCUUUUGACAAUGAGUUUCCUUGAAGACCACAGCUACGGUUCUUUGCCUCAAAUUAAGAGAGAAAUUGAUAAAAGUCCAAGUCCUGUGCCUGAUCUUAAUAUAAAAUUGGAAUGUGAGUCUCAUAGUGGCGAUAGCAGGGCUUCGCCCCUCUUUACUGAGGUACCAAAUGAUCAAGUUUUCGCACAGACAUUUUUGAAACAGGAAGUUGACGCGGAUGAAAAUAGCCACUCUGAGGAUGAGCUCCAGAAGGCUUGUAUUGUGCAAGCUUGCCUCAAAUUGUUAGACUCGUCUUCGUCGGAUGAUGACGAGCUGUUACUGUAUUGGAUGUUGUGUAAAAAUAGGAAAAAAAACCUGCGGAAACGCCGGAGAAUUUCAUAAAUAGAUAAAUUAGA
This is an RNA transcript of Tribolium castaneum (red flour beetle), 812 nucleotides long. RefSeq lists it as uncharacterized. NCBI's taxonomy places the organism in Eukaryota, Metazoa, Arthropoda, Insecta, Coleoptera, Tenebrionidae. The transcript is spliced from 2 exons. The record is from RefSeq and is a predicted model, not a curated record.